Molecule: long non-coding RNA, 2113 nt
Filed under: Sus scrofa (pig)
Lineage: Eukaryota; Metazoa; Chordata; Mammalia; Artiodactyla; Suidae
Description: lncRNA (ENSSSCG00055020806.1)
Source: RNAcentral
CUCGCUGACUUGUCUCAGCUCAUAGGGCCUUCAGGAUCAUGGCCUAUAAAAUGCUUCAAGCAGCCCUGUGUUCAACAUUGCUUAUAGGAGCUUUGGGAGCACCAUUUUUAUUGGAGGACCCAGCAAACCAAUUCCUACGUCUCAAAAGACACAUAUAUUUGCAGGAUUACUGGGAUUCAGAUUACAGUCCGAAUACAUGGGGAAGCACACUGGCUAAUCAGGCUUAUGAAACAUGGACUGCUUUGAAAACAACAGCACAGUAUUACCUGAAUGUGAAUAAUUUGCCCCAUGACACAUCUACUGCCCAGUAAAUGUGCUUUGCUGGUAGCCAGGAUAGCAAAAGUAGUGGAAGCCAAAAGGGGCAAUGCCUCCAAACCACUAGAUUUGGAGACCUCAGGGCAAAUCCAUCCCAUCUACUAAAUUAUUUAUUAUGUCUGCCUCAUGAAGCUAUUGAAAGGAGUAAAUAUGAAAAUCCCUGUAGAGACCUAGAAUUAGAAGCUCUCAAUAAAUUGUUGCUUUUAAAAAUGAGAACUAAAAUAAAGACUGUAGUAAUAAAAUUUACCAAAUGGUAAAAGGAAAUAAAAAAACAAAACAGUAGUGUCAUUAAAAUUCCCUGUCUGAAAGGAAAACAAAACAAAACAAAAAAAACCGUUCAUAGCUCUUGCUUUCUAUUGCCUCUUCUUUGAGAGAAUUAGUUCACUUUUUGUUCAAGGAAGAAAAUGGGAUCUCUCAUAUGGAACUGGUCCUCUCCUCUUUUCUUCAAUACUUGUCACUUCCUAAAGUCAGUCUAUUCCAAGAUCAUACUUGUGAAUUUUUUUUCAUCAAAGCUGUACUGUUUUGGGCAAUAGAGAAUAAAAUCUUAGCUCAUACUAGGGAACAGAUGAUGACUCGGAACCCACUGGAAGCCACCCACCUGUAAGUCUUCCUGAGAAAUUUUGUCAAAAUUACGCAAGUUUUAUGUUCCAGCCCAUAAUAUAUUUUUUUGUUUUGAUAUGAAAUAAUAAUUUUUAAAAAAUCUCAAAUCCAUUAUUACUCACUUUCCAUCCCCCUAAGCCCCAGCCCUAGUAACCACUAAUAAACUUUCUGUAGCUAUACAAAAAAAAGAAAUAACCUUUUGAAUUUACUGGCCCUAUGUUUUUAUUAAUAUUUCCAAUAACAUGGAAAAAUUGAUGUUACAUAAAAUUGCACUAUGUUUGUCCAUGGAAUACCACUUCAGUACUCAAGAUUGAAAAGUACUGAGAUGAUAUAACCAAUCACCAAGACUCCCUUGAAAUCACAGAUAAGUGGACUUUUGCCUUCAAAAGUCAAUUUCUCCGUAUACCUAGGUCAACUGUUCUCUGCAGAGAUUUCUUUUGGUAAAUAGAAGCAUCUCCUCAAGACUAUAGUUGGUCUUAUGUGAUCUUUUAUUUAUUUUUUUUCUUUUUGGCCACACCUAUAGCAUAUGGAAGUUCUUGGGCCAGGGGUCAAAUCUGGGUUGCAGCUGCAACCUGUGCCACAGCUGCAGCAAUGCUGGAUCCUUAAUCCACUGCGCCAGGUGAUCAAACCCAAGCCAUUGCCAAGACAAUGCUGGAUCCUUAACCUGCUGUGCCAUAGCAGGAACUCCUUAUGUGGUCUUAAAACAGCUUCAGGCACUUUUUCAGCAGGAAAAAAUCAGAUGCCACGAAGCUGCACUAUAAAGAUUUUGGUCCAGCACUUUCUUCUCCAAAAGAACACCAGUAGCUACUCAGUAUUCUCCAUUUUUUCAUUCCAUCCCUUAGAGGUGUUUUCAGUGAGAAUUGAGACUAAUGCAUAAUUUAUUAUGUUAACUGCUAUCCAUUUCUAAUACACAUAAACAGAUUUUUAAAUCAAAUCACAACUGAAUGGACAAAAGAAAGAAAUCGAGGAGUUCCCGUCAUGGCGCAGUGGAAAUUAAUCUGACUAGAAACCAUGAGGCUUCGGGUUCAAACGCGGCUUGGAUCUGGCGUUGCUGUGGCUCUGGCGUAGGCCGGCAGCUGUAGCUCCAAUUAGACCCCUAGCUUAGGGCUGCACCCACAGCAUAUGCCGUGGGUGCAGCCCUAAAAAGACGAAAGAAAGAAAGAAAGAAAGAAAGAAAGAAAGAAAGAAAGAAAGAAAG